Molecule: long non-coding RNA, 1011 nt
Organism: Brassica oleracea var. oleracea
Lineage: Eukaryota; Viridiplantae; Streptophyta; Magnoliopsida; Brassicales; Brassicaceae
Exons: 6
Source: RefSeq, a predicted model, not a curated record
UUGACAUAGAUUUUCUUUCCUGGGCUUACCGUUGAUGUCUUCUUUGCCGAUCUUUCACCCUAGAGACAAUGAAUCCUUGUCUCAACUCUUAGGCUCUCCUAUCGUUCAACGUAUCUGUCUUUAAUCUGGCUAAUAAAUGCUAUUGCCAUUUAACCAAAACGCUGUCGACCUCUCUGUUUCCUUCAUGCCAAAUCUAUAAAUUGGAGAAAGUUGAUCUCAUUCAUUCCUUGAUCGUCUUCUUCAUCGUGAUUUCAACCCUCUACGGUGUUUCCGCGGAUUCGGUAAAAGGCGAGUUCGUCUUUGGUCAGCUCUCGGAAAGGAGCAGAUUGGAAACUUGAUUAUUCUCACAUCACUUUUGAACUUCAAACAGUAGAUGGAUUGGUGAAGGACAGUACACAGUGUGCCCCUAAUGGCUACUAUUUCAUCCGUCUAUGACAAGGGCUCAUUCAUUUCUCAAGAUUAAUGGACCUGAAGGAUGGUCAUGGCAUCCAGAUAAGGUAACAUGUACCUCAAAUCGACCCCAGCUUCCAAAUUUUUUUUUGGAUCCCAAUCUCCCACCUAUCACAGAGUUCACAGCUAGAUGCUGUGGUGAAAGAAGCGACUUGGGAUGUAUAAAAAAGGAAAUAAGCUUUGUGAUGACAUGACAUCGAUCCUCACAUCUCCUGCUUAGUCUGCUAAACUAUCUGAUUUAUUGCCAACUACGAGAUUUUUUUAUGGUUUUCUCUUCUGACUUCUUAGCUGUUGAUUCUUAAUAAUAUGUGUUUUUUGAUUCAUGUUGUUUCAGAGAAAUGGCUAUCUCAGACACCGAGUGAACCUAUCAAAUCAUUCUUUAAGCCGGUGGAAAAGAGACGUAGCGUUCAAGUACAUGUUGAUGCCAUGAAACUCUCUUACAUCUGUGAUUGAAAGAUUCAUUUACGAUUUUUUCUAAUAAUAUUUAGAUAUGUUAGUUUUUAACAUUUUCUUACUGAGUUGUUGGUUGUCUACAUUUUCUGAUGAGAUUUAAUGUCAUUC